GACGAACCGUGCGAACGUUGUUCGGAUUCACUGGGCUUAAAGGGCGCGUAGGCGGAAGGUCAAGUCCGAGGUGAAAUCUUUCGGCUCAACCGGAAAAGUGCCUUGGAUACGGAUCUUCUCGAGGGAGGUAGGGGCAUGUGGAACUUCCGGUGGAGCGGUGAAAUGCGUAGAUAUCGGAAGGAACGCCGGUGGCGAAAGCACUCUGCUGGGCCGACACUGACACUGAGAGACGAAAGCUAGGGGAGCGAAUGGG
RNAcentral lists this ribosomal RNA (253 nucleotides) under uncultured bacterium. RNAcentral's name for it is "partial 16S ribosomal RNA". It matches the Rfam family "Bacterial small subunit ribosomal RNA", at positions 524 to 776 of the family's 1533-position model. The record is from RNAcentral.